UAGAGACUGCCGGUGUCAAACCGGAGGAAGGUGGGGAUGACGUCAAGUCCUCAUGGCCUUUAUGACCAGGGCUACACACGUACUACAAUGGCAGGUACAAAGGGCAGCCACUUAGCGAUAAGGCGCGAAUCCCAUAAAACCUGUCUCAGUCCGGAUUGGAGUCUGCAACUCGACUCCAUGAAGUUGGAAUCGCUAGUAAUCGCAGAUCAGCACGCUGCGGUGAAUACGUUCCCGGGCCUU
This 240-nucleotide ribosomal RNA is filed under the name uncultured Desulfocapsa sp. Its description in RNAcentral is "partial 16S ribosomal RNA". It matches the Rfam family "Bacterial small subunit ribosomal RNA", at positions 1143 to 1382 of the family's 1533-position model. Lineage: Bacteria; Pseudomonadati; Thermodesulfobacteriota; Desulfobulbia; Desulfobulbales; Desulfocapsaceae. The record is from RNAcentral.